CAAGCGGUCGGAGUUCCCUAUAUGGGAAUGACGGCGUGCCUUUUGCAUAAUGAACCUACGAGUUACUCCUCACUGGCAAGGUUAAGUGAUUAAGUCACGCAGCCGAAGCGAAAGCAAGUCUGAAUAGGGCGAUCAGUCAGUGGGGGUAGACGCGAAACCUUGUGAUCUACCCAUGGCCAGGUUGAAGGAUCGGUAACACGAUCUGGAGGACCGAACUGGUAAACGUUGAAAAGUUUUCGGAUGAGCUGUGGGUAGGGGUGAAAGGCUAAUCAAACUGGGAAAUAGCUCGUACUCUGCGAAAUGUUUUUAGGAACAGCCUCGAGGUUGAGUAUCAUAGAGGUAGAGCUACCGAUUGGGCUAGGGGGCUUCACCGCCUACCAAACCCUGACGAACUCCGAAUGCUAUGAUAUGUACUCGGGAGUGAGCCUGCGGGUGCUAAGGUCCGUGGGCGAGAGGGAAAGAACCCAGACCAUUUGCUAAGAGCCCCAAAAUCUGAGUUAAGUUGUUAAAACGUGGUCCGACUGCUGUGACAGCCAGGAUGUUUGCUUGGAAGCAGCCAUUCAUUUAAAGAGUGCGUAACAGCUCACUGGUCGAGCGGUUGGGCGUGGAUAAUAACCGGGCAUAAAACUCAGUGCCGAAGCAAUGGACUCGAAAGAGUGGUAGCAGAGCAUUCUAACAGCAGUGAAGGUGAAGCGCGAGCUUUGCUGGAGCGGUUAGAAAAGCAAAUGUAGGUAUAAGUAACGAUAAGGCUGGUGAGAGACCAGCCCGCCGAUAGUCUAAGGUUUCCUGAUCAACGUUAAUCGGAUCAGGGUUAGUCGGGUCCUAAGUCGAAGCCGAAGGGCGUAGACGAUGGCCAAUUGGUUAAUAUUCCAAUACUAGUAUACAGUGCUAUGGGGUGACCCAGUAGUGAAAGAUCCGCGUACUGACGGAAGUACGUUAAAGACCGUAGAUAUAGGUUGCGUAGGUAAAUCCGCGCGAUUUGUCGAAAGUCGAUAGUACACUGAGUCUUCGGACAAGGUGAUAGUGAUCCUAAUCAGACUGGCAAGAAAAACCUCUAUGCUUCAGCUGUAUACUACCCGUACCGUAAGCCGACACAGGUAGACAAGUAGAGUAUACUAAGGCGCUAGGGUGAGCCGUGGCUAAGGAACUAGGCAAAUUAACCCCGUAACUUCGGGAAAAGGGGUGCCCCCUUCGGGGGGCCGCAGAGAAAUGGGAGCGGCGACUGUUUAUCAAAAACUCAUGGCUUUGCAAAAUCGAAAGAUGAAGUAUAAGGCCUGACACCUGCCCGGUGCUGGAAGGUUAAGAGGAGAGGUUAAUCGCAAGAUGAAGCUUUGAAUCGAAGCCCCAGUAAACGGCGGCCGUAACAAUAACGGUCCUAAGGUAGCGAAAUUCCUUGUCGGGUAAGUUCCGACCUGCACGAAUGGUGUAACGAUCGCUCCACUGUCUCAGCCACGAGCCCUGUGAAAUUGGAGUAACGGUGAAGAUACCGUUUACCCGCAACGGGACGGAAAGACCCCGUGCACCUUUACUAUAGCUUUACAUUGAACUUGGGUAAAUAAUGUGUAGAUAGCUGGGAGACUUUGAAGUGGUGUCU
This 1594-nucleotide ribosomal RNA is filed under the name metagenome. RNAcentral's name for it is "bacterial LSU rRNA". It matches the Rfam family "Bacterial large subunit ribosomal RNA", at positions 567 to 2170 of the family's 2925-position model. The record is from RNAcentral.